Molecule: ribosomal RNA, 1372 nt
Filed under: uncultured bacterium
Lineage: Bacteria
Description: bacterial SSU rRNA
Rfam family: Bacterial small subunit ribosomal RNA
Source: RNAcentral
GAUGAACGCUGGCGGCGUGCCUAAUACAUGCAAGUCGAGCGAACGGACGAGAAGCUUGCUUCUCUGAUGCUAGCGGCGGACGGGUGAGUAACACGUGGAUAACCUACCUAUAAGACUGGGAUAACUUCGGGAAACCGGAGCUAAUACCGGAUAAUAUUUUGAACCGCAUGGUUCAAAAGUGAAAGACGGUCUUGCUGUCACUUAUAGAUGGAUCCGCGCUGCAUUAGCUAGUUGGUAAGGUAACGGCUUACCAAGGCAACGAUGCACAGCCGACCUGAGAGGGUGAUCGGCCACACUGGAACUGAGACACGGUCCAGACUCCUACGGGAGGCAGCAGUAGGGAAUCUUCCGCAAUGGGCGAAAGCCUGACGGAGCAACGCCGCGUGAGUGAUGAAGGUCUUCGGAUCGUAAAACUCUGUUAUUAGGGAAGAACAUAUGUGUAAGUAACUGUGCACAUCUUGACGGUACCUAAUCAGAAAGCCACGGCUAACUACGUGCCAGCAGCCGCGGUAAUACGUAGGUGGCAAGCGUUAUCCGGAAUUAUUGGGCGUAAAGCGCGCGUAGGCGGUUUUUUAAGUCUGAUGUGAAAGCCCACGGCUCAACCGUGGAGGGUCAUUGGAAACUGGAAAACUUGAGUGCAGAAGAGGAAAGUGGAAUUCCAUGUGUAGCGGUGAAAUGCGCAGAGAUAUGGAGGAACACCAGUGGCGAAGGCGACUUUCUGGUCUGUAACUGACGCUGAUGUGCGAAAGCGUGGGGAUCAAACAGGAUUAGAUACCCUGGUAGUCCACGCCGUAAACGAUGAGUGCUAAGUGUUAGGGGGUUUCCGCCCCUUAGUGCUGCAGCUAACGCAUUAAGCACUCCGCCUGGGGAGUACGACCGCAAGGUUGAAACUCAAAGGAAUUGACGGGGACCCGCACAAGCGGUGGAGCAUGUGGUUUAAUUCGAAGCAACGCGAAGAACCUUACCAAAUCUUGACAUCCUUUGACAACUCUAGAGAUAGAGCCUUCCCCUUCGGGGGACAAAGUGACAGGUGGUGCAUGGUUGUCGUCAGCUCGUGUCGUGAGAUGUUGGGUUAAGUCCCGCAACGAGCGCAACCCUUAAGCUUAGUUGCCAUCAUUAAGUUGGGCACUCUAAGUUGACUGCCGGUGACAAACCGGAGGAAGGUGGGGAUGACGUCAAAUCAUCAUGCCCCUUAUGAUUUGGGCUACACACGUGCUACAAUGGACAAUACAAAGGGCAGCGAAACCGCGAGGUCAAGCAAAUCCCAUAAAGUUGUUCUCAGUUCGGAUUGUAGUCUGCAACUCGACUACAUGAAGCUGGAAUCGCUAGUAAUCGUAGAUCAGCAUGCUACGGUGAAUACGUUCCCGGGUCU